AGAUAAAGUGGGUCAAUUAAAAGCUGCUAACUUUUUAAUUAGGUAGUUUAACUCUACCUUUUAUCUA
This 67-nucleotide transfer RNA is filed under the name Branchinella kugenumaensis. RNAcentral's name for it is "tRNA-Ser1". The record is from RNAcentral. Lineage: Eukaryota; Metazoa; Arthropoda; Branchiopoda; Anostraca; Thamnocephalidae.